This 361-nucleotide long non-coding RNA is filed under the name Nicotiana benthamiana. RNAcentral's name for it is "long non-coding RNA (NBEN_LNC015502)". Lineage: Eukaryota; Viridiplantae; Streptophyta; Magnoliopsida; Solanales; Solanaceae. The record is from RNAcentral.
UAGAAUGAUUUUCAGACUUCGUAUAAAGUCUAACUGAAUCAGAUAUAUUCAGAGGAUCUGGAGUUUAUUAUAUGUCCACAUUCAGUAAACAGAUCGAAGUUACUGGUACGUUCCAUGCUAGCUCCAUCCUGACUGUCGUCUGUGUCCAAAAUCAUAGCCGUUGGUGGUGGCAAGAACUCAUACAGUGGAUAAUAUCAACGGCGCAAUCCUGAAAGCAUUUAUCUGGCGUAGAGAUGCAUUUAACAACACAAGUGACUGCUUUUCUGCCACAAGUGAUUGCAGAUUGGCCUUCAGCAUGCUGGAAUAGUACGGUGGAUGAAGAAUUGAGUACAAGUAAAGCUAGAGAAUGAAUUGGUAAAGU